GGACCGGAGUGGACGAACCUCUGGUGUUCGGGUUGUGUCGCCAGACGCAUUGCCCGGUAGCUAAGUUCGGAAUCGAUAACCGCUGAAAGCAUCUAAGCGGGAAGCGAGCCCUGAGAUGAGUCUUCCCUGAUACUUUAAGUAUCCUAAAGGGUUGUCGGAGACUACGACGUUGAUAGGUCAGGUGUGUAAGUGCUGUGAGGCAUUGAGCUAACUGAUACUAAUUGCCCGUGAGGCUUAACCAUACAACACCCAAGGGGUUU
This 260-nucleotide ribosomal RNA is filed under the name Vibrio parahaemolyticus. RNAcentral describes it as "partial 23S ribosomal RNA". It matches the Rfam family "Bacterial large subunit ribosomal RNA", at positions 2689 to 2925 of the family's 2925-position model. Lineage: Bacteria; Pseudomonadati; Pseudomonadota; Gammaproteobacteria; Vibrionales; Vibrionaceae. The record is from RNAcentral.